Molecule: RNA transcript, 7215 nt
Organism: Olea europaea var. sylvestris
Lineage: Eukaryota; Viridiplantae; Streptophyta; Magnoliopsida; Lamiales; Oleaceae
Gene name: ENHANCER OF AG-4 protein 2-like
Exons: 13
Source: RefSeq, a predicted model, not a curated record
UUGAGGUUUUUCCCUCUCACAUAGAUAUUCUACUGUGCUUCUCUCUCUGCCAAACUCUCUCGUCAGCGACCGCCUUAAUCUCUCCCUGUAAGAAAAAUACAAUUUUCUCUUUAGCUCUUCAUUGUGAUCGGUUUCUGUAGAAGACAGAAAGAGGGAAUCGGGGGAAACUCGAAAGUGACGCCGUUGUGGGGAAUUCAAUUUAGGGUUUUUUUCUUUUCUUUUCUUUUUCUUUUUUUUUUGGAAGAAAAGAAAAUUGGAGAACGAAAGCCAUGGCUCCAGGCCGGAAGCGUGGAGCAAAAGGCAUGGGGACAAAGAGCGAGUUGAGUUUGGGCGAUCUCGUCCUUGCCAAGGUCAAGGGUUACCCUCCUUGGCCUGCCAAGAUUAGCAGACCUGAAGACUGGGAGAGAGCUCCUGACCCCAAGAAAAUUUUCGUUGAAUUCUUUGGUACAGAAGAAAUAGGCUUUGUCGCUCCUGCUGAUAUUCAGGCAUUCACCAGUGAGGUAAAAGAUAAAUUGUGUGCUCGACCCCAACCUAAGACAGUUAAGUACUUUGCCAAAGCUGUGAAGGAAAUCUGCGAAGAGUUUGAAGCGAUACAGUGCAAAAGUUCAAGUAGUGUAGGAGAUGAUAUGGAUAAACAGGAUCUUGAGUGUGAAGCACCUUCAGUUGAUCAAGUGGAAUCAGAGGCUAAUCUAAAAGAUGAGGCUAACAGGGAAGGACCAAAUUACAAGACAAAGAUUGAAGGAGUUGGUGACCAAGGCUCUAGGUUAGAGCAUUCCUCACAUAGACUUAGCGAGACCGACUGUCAAGAUACAAAGACCUCCAUCUCGAAUGAUGUAAAUCCUAGUUCGUCUCUGUUUAUAUAUUCGAAAAAGAGGCAUAAACUUUCGACGUAUGGGACUGAUUUGUCGAAGGAGUCAAUGUCAGCAACCAAUCUGUGUAGGCAUUCCUUUCUUAAGGAGGAAGGGUCUUGUGAUAACAAAAUUGAGCAGAGACAUUCUGAUGGGAAGGAGAGCGAAUUCACAAAUGGCCACAAAUCAGAUCUGGCAAUUGGGUCAAAGAGGAAAUCUGACGGCGUGAAUGUUAUGCACAAAAAUAUUGGCCAAGCUGUUUCAGUUGCAUCAGCAUGUGAUAACUUGGGUCUUCACAUUAAUAUUUCUCGUGAGCAAUCUGGAGAUGGGUUGGUAAGGAAAAUUAAUUCUGAUGGCAACACAAAUGAUUCAUCUGUGGAUAUUUCUAGGUCAAGCUUAGAUGUUGGUAGAAGGAAAGAACAAAAAUCACUGAAAGAGAGAAAACAUUCUGGUUCAGCAGAUGAUUGUCCAAGGGACAUAGAAGUCAAUUUUAAGGAGUGGAACAAAGAUGAUAUAUCUGGAGAAAAAAUUAGUGCUAGGCCUGGUAAACAAAGUUUUCAUAGGAAUGUAGUUUCAUGUUCUGCUAAAAGGUCAAAAUUUGCAGAUAUUGAGGGUGAUGCCACCAAGGGGAAAACCAAAACAAACAGAAAAAGUGAUUCUCAAAGUACUAAUGCUCUUGAUGACAUCAUAAGUAUUACAGAGCCUAAACGGUUAACAUCAGGAGGGGAUGCGGAGAACUGCGAGCCUUUCAGAUUUCAGAAAAGCAUGAAAGAUUAUAAUUCUUCUGGCAAUGAAGAUGAUCUCCCCCCAACAAAGCGCCGUCAUGGGGCAUUGGAGGCCACGGGUCAUUCUGCUUUAGUUUCCGAAAAUAGAUUGGGAAAUUCUUCUGCUCUUAAAAAGGGCCUUUCUGAUAAACGAUCCCCAGCUGUACAGUUGCUGGUAAAGCGGAAAGCUGUUCGCUUGUGGGAUGAUGAUUAUGAUGAAGAGCCCAAAACUCCAAUUCAUGGAGGAUGUGUCGCUAAGGUUUCUCUUCUUCCACGUGUGUUGGACUCUACAAAAAAAAUUGACAUGCAUGGUGAGAGUUCUCUCCAUGAUCAGCAAGAGUGGAAUGGUUCAGGCAGAGUUGAGGAUGGGUCUAAGGGACUGGUAUCAUAUGCCAUGCCCCACAAAGCUUCAUCACCAACUGUUCAGCAACGCAUGGAGAAGAGAGCUAGAGAAAUAGGUGCUGCGCACGUAUGUUCUAGCCCUGCUCAAGUAGACUUCACGAAUAUAUCCCCUAUGGAGACUAGACCAGUAGUCUUUUCACCUAAAAGGUCCCUGCGGUCGGUCAUGAGUGGCAAACCAUCAGGCGAACUGCAAAACAGGCACUCUGGCAAGACACCCGUUAAUAUAACUCAUAAGAAAGCUCCAUCUGGGUCCAAUAUUGGCCCCACUUCAGUUUCUGAUAGGUUAAAUUCAUCUCUUAAUCAAACAACAAAUGAAAGAAGCAAGUCAGCUUACUCAGGGGAGAGAAUGAAAACAACUCCAAAAUCAGAUUCAGAAAUCAAUGAUUCUGUUCUUGUAGUGGGAAAUCGAACUGAAAGUAUUGUAUUCUUGGGUGAAAGGGUGGUUAUUGGUGGAGAUGUCAAGACGAGUUCCUCUAUUGACCCAAAAAUUUCAGACCCUGUUAUGUCUAUGAAACAUCUUAUUGCUGCUGCUCAGGCAAAGAAGAGACAAGCUCAUAUUCAAAACUCUCAUGGGACUCCUCUUUUGCUUUCUGAUGCUGACAUACCACGAAGGAGUUCGAGCCCAAAUCCUGCAUCACAGGGAACAAAAGCCAGCAACAUGCCGCAACUGGAUAUAGAAGGAUUGCCUUCUUGCUCUUCUUUAACAUCUCCUUCCUCUGAUUUUCGCCAAUUUUCAUCAGAUAAUCAACAUGAGACCGAAGAAUUUGAGGAGCGGAGAGUUAGUUCGGGUCAUUGGGUUAUUGGGGGUUCCCUAAGUGGGGGUACUGAGGCAGCUGUUGCUCGUGACUCAUUUGAAGGAAUGAUAGAGACGCUGUCAAGGACCAAAGAGAGCAUUGGGCGAGCAACUCGUCUUGCAAUUGACUGUGCAAAGUAUGGGAUUGCCAAUGAGGUUGUGGAACUUCUCACUCAGAAGUUGGAAAACGAGCUCAGCUUUCAUCGCAGAGUGGACCUGUUUUUCCUAGUUGAUUCGAUAACCCAAUGCUCUCAUGGUCAGAAAGGAAUUGCAGGGGCUUCAUAUAUUCCUGCAGUUCAAGCAGCAUUAUCCCGUCUCAUAGGAGCUGCUGCUCCCCCUGGGGCAAGUGCUCAUGAGAAUCGUCGUCAAUGUCUUAAGGUCUUGCGAUUAUGGCUUGAGAGGAAAAUCAUGCCGGAGUCUGUUCUUCGUCGCUAUAUGAAUGAUAUUGGUGCAGUGAAUGAUGAUGCUUCCGCUGGAUUUUCCUUUAGGCGUCCUUCCCGAGCUGAGCGAGCUAUAGACGACCCUAUUAGAGAAAUGGAAGGCAUACUUGUGGAUGAAUAUGGCAGCAACACAUCGUUUAAACUACAUGGCCUUUUGUCAUAUCACACAUUUGUAGAAGAGGAAGAGGAAGAUCAGGAUAAUAUCCAGGCUCAUUUGUGCAAGGAAGUUGCAGAUAGGUCACCAUCAGAAGGUAUGCCUAUCAUUGGAGAUCCUGAAAAUUGUGCAGUUACUCCAAGUGACAGGCAUCACUUCAUUUUAGAAGAUGUCGAUGGCGAGCUUGAAAUGGAGGAUGUGUCUGAACACCAAAAAGAUGAAAAACCACUUUCUACCAAUGGGGCUUUUGAGACUGAUAAAAUUCAGCCAGAUGCAGAUAUGAUUUUGGUGUCAGCUUCAAUCAAUUCUUUUGAGUUGUUGCCUCUACCUGAGGGUUCGCCACCUUUGCCCAUUGAUUCUCCGCCUGCAACUCCACCUUUACCAACUUCACCACUUCCAUCACCACCUCCGCCGCCACCUUCAUCAUCUCCAUUGCCACCGCCGCCGCCGCCGCUUCCUUCAUCACAGGUUUCUCUAUUUCCUCCACCACCAAUUGGUCCUCCUGCAUUACUUCCCACGCCAUCGUUGCCUCCACAGCCUUUAUUGAUGUCCCAAAACAUUGCCUCACUUUCGUCAUCAAUAUCUACUUCCUCCCUCGCGGCAGCAUAUCAACAACGUCCUUUACCAAAUGAAGUUUCUGGCACACCCAUUGGGAAUCAACUCGCUCAAAUGACAACGAAUACUCCUCAUAUUGAUGCUUCUGUCAAAACUGAAAUAUUUUCGCAGCAAACACCCUGCUUUACUCCAGCUGGAGUCGGCACUGUACGAGAACACACUGGAUAUAAUUUGUCAAUGACCUUAGAAUAUGGACGCAGUGGCACUUAUACGGAAAUGGAUCCCCAAGUCUUUGCACAAAGGCCUCCGCUUCUGAAUCACCCACCCAAUCAUAUAUCAUAUCCAAAAACCUCAGUCCAGCAACAACACCCAUACCCCCCCUACUCAUUGCAAAACAAUUCUGAUGGGCUGAGGCAAUAUGCUGCUGAUGAACAAUGGCGGGCACAACCAAAUGAGUUUAAUACUGAUCAUCCACACAGUUUAUGGAUGGCAGGAGGGAUAUCUUGUUCAGCUUCACCCUUUGCACAAGAAGGUAUUUCUGGAUUCCCUUUGGAAAGGCCUCCUAUGAGUACAGUUGGUUUUCACAUCUCUGCCCCUCCCCCUCCCCCUCCCCGCGCGCCAAAUGCACUGCCAAUUGCCAAUCCUAUCCCAGGUCAUACUUUUCCACAGAUGAUGCCUUGGAGACCAGAAAUGUCCACCCUCAACUGGAGGCCAGCGUAGAAUUAGUUUAAAGCCUAUUGUUUUUUGGUUAUAGGAGGCAGGUCAAGUAGGAUUUGCAUUAAUAAUGCUCCAACUGAAUUUUGGAAUUAGCACCAAAAAGGAAUUGUUAAGUGGAGACCCUUUGGCAGGACUCUGUAUAUUAGAAUUUUUCCUGACAAAUGCACCCGACAGACAUAUUAUUGAGCAUGGGGCUGAUCUUGGACGGAGGGUGCAAAUACUUAUUUAGAUUUAUAACUCGGUAUCACUCUCUUACAUGAGCGUAAUGAGGCAGCAGAUUUGCUUGCUAUCAAUUAUGCAGGCAGUAUGAGGAGUUUCUUGUGCGAGAUCUUUCAACAAAACCAAGAAAUGCUCUACAUUCGAGGACGAGCUUGAUAACUGAAGAUUUAAUUAGGUAAUUAUGAAUGAAUCACAUGCUUACAAUAUUUCUUUUCAAAUAUAUCUUUUUAAUGUAAUCUUUGGAGCCCCUCUCAUAUGUACUUUGAUUUCAUAUAAAAUAUGGUAAGUUUGGUCUGGGUAGAUACCUGAAAAUUUCGUGGUUCGAUUUAAAAAACAGUUAGAUUGGUCUAUGGCUUUAUAGAAAUACAGUUUAUGAUAUUAAUGAAGAAAAUACUAGCAGGAUUUGCACGUUAAUAUUUAGAAUAUAGUGCUUCAAAGACGAAUGGUUUAUGGAAAAAUGACAGAUACAAAUUAAAGAGAAACUCGGAACUGGAAAUACCGAAGGGGGGAACAGAUAAAAAAGAAACUUCCUUUUCGAUGGUCAUGUUACUGUAAAACAAUGGGUGCAUUUUUCUAGUUUAUGAUACAAAUGACAGUCUUGAGAAAGGACAAAAAUUACUAUGUUCUUGUUUUGUUUAUCGAACGGUACUAAAGAAGAAAGAUUGCAUAUAAAUGAGGGUUUUUCCAGUUUACAUGACAAGAAUGGUAGUUCUGAGAAAUGACAAAAAUUACGAUAUUUAUGCUUUGUUUCUCUAACGGUACUGAAGAAAAAAUAGUGCAUCUAAAUUAGGGUUUUCUAAAGUAGUCUGUGACUCUGAGGAAGGACUGAAAUAACAAUAUGCAUGCUCUGUUUCGUAAAGUAAUGUUUACAAUAUCAAAUAAAAUAUUAAAAAGGAAAUUAUAAAAAUUUUCAUGUAUGUAAUAUUACGUAAUAAAUAUAUGCAUGGAAGAAAUAACACAAAAUAAUCUAUUAUAGUACUAUACAAUGUUAGGUAAUAAAUGUAUUAGUGGAAAAUUAAAUCUAUUGAGUGUGUGGUUAAGUCAACUUUGUCAAUUUCAAAAGUUAGGUAUUUUUUCAUUAAUUUCUGUAUCUUUUUUCGGCGUUGUAUGAAGAUUAGUCAACUACCUUUUUUUUUUUAGUUUCAUUUUUGUACUGAAGGUCAAAAACUUUAAUGUGGGCAAAUUUUUUGCUUGAAUUCUCUCUUUCUAACGACCAAACUGAAAUAUUUAUAUCUUUAACUUUUAUUUUUGUUGAUCAUACGUUCUAAUUUAUCUUCGUUGUGUCAUAUUUUCCUCGUCACCUACCGUUCACCCCUUCGUAUCCCAGCCCGGUAAAAUUUGUACACCCCCUUCAUCUAUCCUAUAGUUGAGUUCAAGUACGUGAUGAUUUGAGAUCCUUGAACUAAAAAAUUGACAUAAGUAAACUAGAAGUGUCGGUCACAAGUUGAAAAAAGUGUUGGCCACUGUGAGUCGAUGACAUGUCCCUUCCUCUGUGAACAUAUUUUGAUAUUUGGUCAAUGCACAUUGCUCAUGGACAACCCAUAUUGACAAUGCGCUUGAAUGGAAGCACACAUGGCAUUGAAUCAUGUUACAAGUGUGUUGUUCCCCUUAAGAAGCGAUGUGCCUUGCAAGGUAUUGCCAAAAGGGUGAUGCUACACGUACAUCAGAGUGUUCAUAACGAUAUUCAUCAUUUCACAUGAAGGGGGGGUCACUUCUAAUAAAAUAUAGUUUAUCCGAAGUGGGUUCUCUUCUAUGUGAAUUGGUGAAUAUCGUUAUGGACAUCAUAUUAUGUACAAUUAAUAUAUUCCUUGCUAGAAAUUGUAACUUCCUACCGAGGAAUUGGCCGCUUGACAUCAUAGUUUACACUGUCAAUUGACCAAAUGUUAUGUGCUAACAGUAUUAUUUUUUUAGCGAACGUAUAGUGCACAGAACUCAUGUUGGCUAGCAAUUGACAAUUCCUAAAGCGAGUAUUUAAAAGGUACACGUGGCUAUCUAAUUACCUUUUAAUCAUGUUAUACUUUUUAGAAACUCAACACUGUGUAAACAAUCGUCAAUUUCUUACUUUUUUUUUGGUUGUCGGUAUGUUGUUUGGUGGGUGCUAAUUGCACAUGUCCCUAUUGAUAUGUCCUAGAGGAUUGACAAUGACUAGAUUGUGGUGCUUGCUUCUUGUGUCUUUGGCAUGUACUGUGAACUGUGAAGAGGGGAAGCUGAAGAGAUGCUUUGGGGGUUGAAACUACACCCUUCAAGAAUAGAAGGUGUAUAUUUGUAAUAUUAAUUCAAAACAAAGUUAUUUAUUUGGGAAAAACAACAGAUAGUCUCCAUC